GUAUUGAUUGCGUGUGAUCGCAAAAGUAAGACAUUCUACACAUUUCAUUAAAAGGGUGUCUAUGUAAAAACGUGAAGACCCCCCUCAGAACUAGCCAAAAGGGGUCCCCACGCGGUGAUGCACAAGAGGGGUGAGAUGGAUUAUGUGUGAGAGCACCAAGGUGUGCACGACCUUUUCAAAAGUCAGCGACAACCCCAGCCCCAGCACCUCCAUUGUAUGAUAAUGAUCCUUCCGCAGGUUCACCUACGGAAA
This 252-nucleotide unclassified non-coding RNA is filed under the name uncultured fungus. RNAcentral describes it as "sequence contains ITS1". The record is from RNAcentral. Lineage: Eukaryota; Fungi.